CCCUUAGAUGUUCUGGGCCGCACGCGUGCUACACUGAUGCAUUCAACGAGUCUAAAACCUGGUCUGAUAGGGCUGGGUAAUCUUUUGAAAGUGCAUCGUGAUUGGGAUAGAUGAUUGCAAUUCUUCAUCUUCAACGAGGAAUGCCUAGUAAACGCAAGUCAUCAGCUUGCAUUGAUUACGUCCCUGCCCUUUGUACACACCGCCCGUCGCUCCUACCGAUUGAAUGAUCCGAUGAAUACCAUGGAUUGAGAGUACGAAUAGGUUCGCUUAUUUCUGCUGCUCGAGAAGUGGAGGAAAUCUUAUCAUUUAGAGGAAGGAGAAGUCGUAACA
RNAcentral lists this ribosomal RNA (330 nucleotides) under uncultured eukaryote. Its description in RNAcentral is "partial 18S ribosomal RNA". It matches the Rfam family "Eukaryotic small subunit ribosomal RNA", at positions 1470 to 1796 of the family's 1831-position model. The record is from RNAcentral.